RNAcentral lists this ribosomal RNA (253 nucleotides) under uncultured bacterium. RNAcentral describes it as "partial 16S ribosomal RNA". It matches the Rfam family "Bacterial small subunit ribosomal RNA", at positions 524 to 776 of the family's 1533-position model. The record is from RNAcentral.
UACGUAGGGUGCGAGCGUUGUCCGGAAUUAUUGGGCGUAAAGAGCUUGUAGGCGGUCUGUCGCGUCUGCUGUGAAAAUCCGGGGCUCAACCCCGGACUUGCAGUGGGUACGGGCAGACUAGAGUGUGGUAGGGGAGACUGGAAUUCCUGGUGUAGCGGUGAAAUGCGCAGAUAUCAGGAGGAACACCAAUAGCGAAGGCAGCUCGCUGGGACGUUACUGACACUGAGGCGCGAAAGCGUGGGGAGCGAACAGG